This 3055-nucleotide long non-coding RNA is filed under the name Canis lupus familiaris (dog). RNAcentral's name for it is "lncRNA (ENSCAFG00000043007.2)". The record is from RNAcentral. Lineage: Eukaryota; Metazoa; Chordata; Mammalia; Carnivora; Canidae.
CUGGAAAAGCCGCCCCCUUCAAUUGCCGGGGUGAUAGGACCGCGCCGAGGGCCGUGCUCCCCGCCGAGGGCCGUGCUCCCCGCAGGAGGCGGUGGACGGACAUCCUCUCAUUUUAUCCGCUCGACCCUCGGAAGACGAAUCGGGUUCGGAGACGGAGCUGCUUUCCCCAAGGUCGCAGCGCGGGUGCCGGGCGGAGCCGGGGAUCCCGCCGAGCUCGGCCAGGCGUCCCGGCCGGUCUGGGCGUCCAGCCGCGCCGCCCGGGAGCCCCCGCGGCGCCCCCCACCGCCCCAUUGCUGUGCCCCGCAGCCGCCCGAGGAGGGGUGGAGGACGGGGGCGGAGGAGGGGCGGAGGCGGCGGGGACCGCUGGGGCGGGGGGGGGCCGCGGCCCGGAGCGGCCUGGAGGCCUGCGCGGGGGGGAGGGGGAGGGGGAGGCGCGUCGCGGCGCCGGAAGCCGCCUCCAUUCCCGGCCGACUGCCCUCCGGCCCCGCCCCGCCCCGGCCCCGCCCCCGGCCCCGCCCCGGCCCCGCCCCCGGCCCCGCCCCGCGCCAUAUUUGGCGCUUCCUCCCCGGCGCUACGAGGCGCUUCCUCCCUGCCCGAGGCCCAUACAAGGCGCUUCCUUCCCGGCCGUCUGGCCGGCGGCCCGCGGGCGGCUGUGGGCGGGAGCCGGCGGCCGGGGACCCGCUGCCAAGGAGGGGGCGGCCGGCGGCGCUGGGAACGCGCCUGGCUGAGGAACCGGCAAGUCCUAACAGGCCCUCCCUGCAGCACUUCCAGGGACUUAAACCUGGCCCAGCCAUGUGGUUACCCUGAUCUAUCUGCCUGGAGAUGAGCAAAGGUCAGAGAGAGGGACCAGACCUCAGCAGACCACACCACCAGCAACUCCCGAACCCCCACCCCCCAGCUCUUCCAGAAGUGCAACACCUCAGCAUACAGGCUGUCUGCUGGACCAACCGGUGAGCCCCUGAUUGUUCUGCCUCAGGUGAGGCAGGGAAAGAAAAGCUCAGAGGUUGAACUGAGUCACAGAAUAUGCCCAGGAAAGGGCUUCUAGUGCCAAGCAGCUUUGGCCUUGAUUCCUCACAGGCUUCCAGUUUUUUGGUUAUGCACGUGUGUAUACAAGCACAUGAGUGCAGGCACAUGCACGCACGCGUACACACACGUGCCUGCACUCUCUCUCUCUCACCCUCUCCCUCUCUCUGUCUCUCUGUCUCUCUCUCUCUCUCUGAAUAAGGCUAAACGAUAAUGAGCUUUGUUGGUCUCCCUGACUCCAGGUAGGCUGUGCCUGUGUACUGGAUGCAGGCAGAAGAGAUGAUUUCCAAGGUCCAGGACUGAGGGUUUAGAGGUUAGAUUUUGAUGGAAAAAAAAACUGGGUUUCAGGGCCUGGGCUGCAUACCCAGGGCCUAGAUGCCUCUGGCCUUGUUUUCCCAUGUAAGGCUGCAGGCCCCCAGCAGCCUCCUCUUCCGAGCUGUUGUCUAGGAUUAUGGGUAAUGUAGUCCAGAGGCCAGCUUCUCUGUGGUACUGGUUCCUGCCCUCCCCUCAUCUCCUUCCCCCCUGCCAGCCACCACCCCCUUCUGCUCCAAGCUGAGGGCAGCGCAGGGUGAGAAGGCGGUGCUUGCUCCUUGCAGGGCUGGGAGAUCCCCUGCUGGAAACCAGCAAGCUAUUUAUAGCUGAGCCUAGCCGUGGGGGAAGGCCUGAGAGAAGCCAGGGAGCUCCAGCAGCCGCCUCUCCAGCUACAGGAUUUGCAGGAACCCCAGGCCUCUGCUGGGCAGGCCUUGUGUUCUAUUCUGGGUGAAAAGGCGUGGAGCCUCAGAAAGCCCUAUAAAAGCAGUAGGGGUCCUGGGUUGCUCCCUGCUUUGUCUGAGAGAGGUAGGUUACUACGGUGGCUCUAGGGCCUGGCUUUUCAGCCUUUCUAAGGUGAAUAUUUGGAAUUUGAGAAUUGAUAAGCUGAGACUUUUUGCAGAAAAAGCCAGCGUGACAUGCAAUAUGAUGGUUGCCUGGUAUUUUUAUGCAUUUUUGUUCUCAUUGUUUUUCUCUGCUUGUUUUCUCAGCCAAGUUGUAUUAUCUUGAAGGGCAGGAACAGGGUCACCUGGGUGGCUCAGUGGUUUAGUGCCUGCCCUCGGCCCAGGGUGUGAUCCUGGAAUCCCACAUCGGGCUCCCUGCUUGGAGCCUGCUUCUCCCUCUCUGUGUGUCUCUCAUGAAUAAAUAAAAUCUUAAAAAAAAAGAAAAAAGAAAAAAGGACAGGAACUAAACUCCGCCCCCCCGCCCCGCCCCCCUUCAUGCUGUAACAAGUGAUCUUGCCAAAAGAAAAACCAAACCCUCCCUUACCAAAACUGGGUUGGGUGUGCUUUUUAUUCCCCCGACCACCCAAUCCUUCUCUCAGUGUCCUGUGUUCUCAUCAAAGCAUCGGAGUUUUACUUGACUAGGUCUCUCACUAGUUUGGUACUCCUUGUUGACAUGGAUGGUGUCUGUCUUGUUGACUAUGAUAGUCCUAACAUCAUGAACAAUUGUUGGAUGAAUGUGAAUGAAUGAAAAUGAAUCUAUGAUAGCCAGUACUGUUUGUGGAGUACUUAAUACAUGCUUUCACCAAGAUCUUUGUUAAGUGGUAGAGCUGUGAUAGGAACUGGUGUCUAACUUAGGAGUAGGGCUUAACCGUGGUAAGUGGCUGCCUUUAUGCUGGCACCCAGUAGGUACAUCUGGCUUCCAGACAGCUGAUGGAUGAGACUGUUAGAUGAGGUGGGCAGGCAUGGUUGAACUGGCCUUGCCCCAUGACACAGCUAGUGCAGCCAGCCGGGAGAGCUGCCAAGGAAUUCUUCUAAGAAACUUAGUGACAAAGACCUGCUCUGAUCUGCCAGAAGGGAAGUCCUGAGGCAGCAGCCAUGGGGGUUGGAGAUAGCAGACAGGCUCUGGAGGCUGAGCAGUGGUGUUUGGGGGGCUCCUCAGAUGUUACCAGGGACCUCUUGUUUCUGAAUCCAGUAGAUUUUUUUUUUUUUUUUUAGUCCUCAUCUUCCUUCAGUAAUUUUCAGCAGCAUUUGACCUGUACAUGAUCAUCUCUUCUUUUUUU